UGUGGAUGUAGCUGUGGAUGUGGAUGAGGAUGUGGAUGUGACUGUGGAUAUGAGUGUAUAUGUGGAAGAGGGGGUGGAUGUCACUGUGAAUGUGGAUGUGACUCUGUAUGUGGAUGUAGCUAUGUAUGUAGAUGAGGAUGUGGAUGUGAUUGUGAGUGUGGAUGUUGCUGGAGAUGUGGAUGUGGGUACAGACAAUGACAGAGUGAGAGAAAG
RNAcentral lists this long non-coding RNA (213 nucleotides) under Homo sapiens (human). Its description in RNAcentral is "non-protein coding lnc-CHAC2-6:1". Lineage: Eukaryota; Metazoa; Chordata; Mammalia; Primates; Hominidae. The record is from RNAcentral.